Molecule: ribosomal RNA, 505 nt
Filed under: uncultured bacterium
Lineage: Bacteria
Description: partial 16S ribosomal RNA
Rfam family: Bacterial small subunit ribosomal RNA
Source: RNAcentral
GACGAACGCUGGCGGCGUGCCUAAUACAUGCAAGUAGAACGCACAGUUUAUACCGUAGCUUGCUACACCAUAAACUGUGAGUUGCGAACGGGUGAGUAACGCGUAGGUAACCUGCCUGGUAGCGGGGGAUAACUAUUGGUAACGAUAGCUAAUACCGCAUAAUAUUAAUUAUUGCAUGAUAAUUGAUUGAAAGAUGCAAUUGCAUCACUACCAGAUGGACCUGCGUUGUAUUAGCUAGUAGGUGAGGUAACGGCUCACCUAGGCGACGAUACAUAGCCGACCUGAGAGGGUGAUCGGCCACACUGGGACUGAGACACGGCCCAGACUCCUACGGGAGGCAGCAGUAGGGAAUCUUCGGCAAUGGACGAAAGUCUGACCGAGCAACGCCGCGUGAGUGAAGAAGGUUUUCGGAUCGUAAAGCUCUGUUGUAAGAGAAGAACGGGUGUGAGAGUGGAAAGUUCACACUGUGACGGUAGCUUACCAGAAAGGGACGGCUAACUACGUG